GCUGCUGGAGACAAUGACUAAUUUAAGCAGAAUAGGAGAAAAAGAACUUUUUUUUCCUUUGUGCCAGUUCCUUUUACACGACUUCAGAACGUUCUAUGACAGCUCAGCGUGCAACUUGGCACUGUCAAAAGAGACCUGGGGAAGAAAGGAAAUGCAGUUCUAACUCUGUGGGUAUGUCUCAGUCAUUCAGCAUCUGCUCCAUCUUUGAGACUGAGUUUCCAGGAGACCUAAUUCAACCAGAAGCAAAAGACAGUUGCCAAGAAGAUAGCAAAGCAUAAGAAUUCGGGAAAUGGAUAAAAAAUCCCAGAGACAUCCAACAAUUAGUAACUAUGUGAACAGAUUCUAAAAUAUUGGGUCUAUUAGGCUUUGUGGGAAGGUAUUCCCUUUGGAAAUGACUGAAAUGGAGACUUUGAACCACUUUCAAUGAUAUAAGCUUGAGGUUAACAUAGAGAUGGUGCUUCACAGAAUACACCACUUUUCAGUAAUUGUAUUCUUAUUGAAUUGUUCAAAAUUGGUCAGUGACUAAUAUUAGGACUCUAAGAACAAAAUUCAUUAGGAUUAUUUAGCCUAUUUUUGCAUUGCUACUGCAAAAUCCAGUAGUUUACAUAGCUAGCUGAAUACUUGAUGUUAAAGGUCAAAAUUCCAUGAAGAUUUUAGAUCAAGACAGCUACCACUGAGAAAAAACAAUGCAGAUUUGUGGUAAAGUCUCAUAAAUUUGUUGAACUGACAAAGCUCUGGACCAUGACUGGUGAAGAACUUCUAAUGCUGACUUCCAUCUGAGCUUUCUCAUUGCCAACUAUCGAGAAUGUCUGGAUUAUCCAGAUGUUGCAACACAGUUGUGUUUGUUUUUGGCUUCACCACUCCCUCUGAGCUGUGAUUCUGUUUUUUCUUAUUGUUGAUGUUCUUUGUUUUUAAUAUGAG
This is a non-coding RNA of Saimiri boliviensis boliviensis (Bolivian squirrel monkey), 921 nucleotides long. NCBI's taxonomy places the organism in Eukaryota, Metazoa, Chordata, Mammalia, Primates, Cebidae. The record is from RefSeq and is a predicted model, not a curated record.